Molecule: ribosomal RNA, 468 nt
Filed under: uncultured bacterium
Lineage: Bacteria
Description: partial 16S ribosomal RNA
Rfam family: Bacterial small subunit ribosomal RNA
Source: RNAcentral
GACGAACGCUGGCGGCGUGCUUAACACAUGCAAGUCGAACGGAAACGCCCUGCUUUUGUGGGGGGCUCGAGUGGCGAACGGGUGAGUAACACGUGAGUAACCGGCCCUUGACUUUGGGAUAACUUCAGGAAACUGGGGCGAAUACCGGAUAGGAGCUCCUGCUGCAUGGUGGGGGUUGGAAAGUUUCGGCGGUUGGGGAUGGACUCGCGGCUUAUCAGCUUGUUGGUGGGGUAGUGGCUUACCAAGGCAUGGACGGGUAGACGGCCUGGGAGGGGAGCCGGCCACGCUGGGCCUGAGAUACGGCCCAGACGCGAAUGUGAGGCAGCGGUGGGGAAUAUUAUACAGUAGGCGGGAGCCUGGUGCGGCAACGCCGCGUGCGGGAAGACGGCCUGGGGGUUGGGAACCGCUUUCGCCUGAUACGAAGCGUGAAUGACGGUACCGGGUGAAGAAGCACCGGCUAACUACGUG